RNAcentral lists this long non-coding RNA (1474 nucleotides) under Salmo salar (Atlantic salmon). RNAcentral's name for it is "lncRNA (ENSSSAG00000083676.1)". Lineage: Eukaryota; Metazoa; Chordata; Actinopteri; Salmoniformes; Salmonidae. The record is from RNAcentral.
GAAAUACGUACACAAAAGAAACACAACGACAAAAUAACAAGCCAGUAAGGCAACAAAGCUAUAACAAGCACAAUCUCCCACAAAACACUAAAACAACACAUACCUAUAUAUAGGACCCUCAAUCAGAGGCAACUAGAAAACACCUGCCUCCAAUUGAGAGUCCAAUCCCCAAUCAACUAAACAUAGAAAUACAAAGAACUAGACUAAACAUAGAAAUGCAUUAACAUAGACCGGUGCCCAAAACCCAGAAUAAUAAAUCAAACACACCACUAAACACACAACCACCCCGAACCACAUAAAACAAAUGCCCUCUGCCACGUCCUGGCCAAACUACAAUAACAAAUAACCCCUAUUACUGGUCAGGACGUGACAAGAAUAAUAGUGAAGACAUCAAAACUAUGAAAUAACACAUGGAAUCAUGUAACCAAAAAAAGUGUUAAACAAAUUAAAAUAUAUUUUAAAUGAGAUUCUUCAAAUAGCCACCCUUUGCCUUGAUGACAGCUUUGCACACCGGUUGUGUGUGUGUGUGUGUGUCAGUAUAUAUAUAUUUUUAUUUUUUUUCUUCCUUUGGCCUUACUGCUGUUAGCCCAUACAAACGCAUUGAAUAACAGAUUCAGUAUAUGGAACAACAAAUAGUCCCAAAAAUGUUUUUGAAGAAAGUUUGUUCUGAAGUGUCUGUCUUAUGUUUGAAAGACAUUAGAAAGAUCAAACACUAAACUGUCUCCAUAUAUACUUCCAUACAUUUUUUUAAACUGACACCAGGGGACCUUCAGACGAUUCAAAACAGAUAUCUCUUUAAACUGACAGAUUUUUAUGGGUAUUUUUUAAUAUGCAAAUUGUAUUUCCGUGGGGCCGCGAUAUCGACUCUAGGGGGUUAAUCUGGGGAAAAUGGGUUAAUCUGUGGACAACGGAAGGGUUGGAGUAAAAAUCUGAAUCAAUUGGUGAAAAUCCAGCGUUUGCAGAAAGAGGAAAUUAGGAAUAUAUGUAUAAUUAGUACAUGUACUGUAUAUUUGAGCGAAAAUAACUAAGUGAGAUAAGCCGACGUACUUACACUCUGGCUGUCAAUGCACUGUUAACAUCUGACUCCAGAGUGAUGUGUUCUUGCAGUCAUGUUUCUUAACUUUGUAUAUGACAUUUCAGAUUUAAAUAUACUGUUUCACACUUAAUAACUUAAUAAAGAGCUACAGUUAGUUUCGGAAUGGGUAGCAAGGAAUAAGUUAGUCCUAAAUAUUUCCAAAACUAAAAGCAUUGUAUUUGGGACAAAUCAUUCACUAAACCCUAAACCUCAACUACAUCUCGUAAUGAAUAAUGUGGAAAUUGAGCAAGUUGAGGUGACUAAACUGCUUGGAGUAACACUAUAUUGUAAACUGUCAUGGUCAAAACAUACUGAUACUAGAGUAGCUAAGAUGAGGAGAAGUCUGUCCAUAAUAAAGCGCUGCUCUCCCUUCUGAACAACACCAUCAACAAGGCAGGU